This 77-nucleotide transfer RNA is filed under the name Desulfovibrionaceae bacterium. RNAcentral describes it as "tRNA-Pro". It matches the Rfam family "tRNA". Rfam says of the family: Transfer RNA (tRNA) molecules are approximately 80 nucleotides in length. Their secondary structure includes four short double-helical elements and three loops (D, anti-codon, and T loops). Lineage: Bacteria; Pseudomonadati; Thermodesulfobacteriota; Desulfovibrionia; Desulfovibrionales; Desulfovibrionaceae. The record is from RNAcentral.
CGGAAAGUGGCGCAGUUUGGUAGCGCGCCUGUUUUGGGAGCAGGAUGUCGGAGGUUCAAAUCCUCUCUUUCCGACCA